GAAAUAACUGACUUUUAUUAUUCAACACCUGAAAUAAUUCACUUGCAACUGCUGCAGAUCUUGACUUCUCAAAUCUCAAAAUUGAUUAUACACUACAGGAAUCAGGGAAGAUGUCAGUGAGAAUUCAGCAGUGUGGCAUACAAGCAACUCAGCAUCAUCUUGAAUUCCUCACUGUUGGCAAUAAGAGCAAAAUACCAUAAGGGAGAUGCUAACUACACACAUUUUUUUGGUUCUUUUUUCUUUGUCAGCCUUUCCCUCUGACAUUCAGCUAUAAUAUGAUUCUAGAAUAAUGAGGUGGAUUAAAAGGAGAUGAUUUUUUUGUCA
Long non-coding RNA from Monodelphis domestica (gray short-tailed opossum), 324 nucleotides. RefSeq lists it as uncharacterized. Lineage: Eukaryota; Metazoa; Chordata; Mammalia; Didelphimorphia; Didelphidae. The record is from RefSeq and is a predicted model, not a curated record.